RNAcentral lists this non-coding RNA (1064 nucleotides) under Drosophila sechellia. Its description in RNAcentral is "Eukaryotic large subunit ribosomal RNA". It matches the Rfam family "Eukaryotic large subunit ribosomal RNA", at positions 2200 to 3013 of the family's 3401-position model. Lineage: Eukaryota; Metazoa; Arthropoda; Insecta; Diptera; Drosophilidae. The record is from Rfam by way of RNAcentral.
UGUGCGAUGGUGUUAGUGCGAACUACCGUUAGGUACGUUGGCUGGGCCAAUCAAAACGCGCGACAAGAUCACGCGACGCGAAGUGGCUGGGCACAAGUAACGGGACUUACAACUGUGAACAAUUUGCUAACAAUUUGCUAACAAUUUGCUGUCGAUCCGCAGGCACGUCUGCACUCGUCGAGUGUUCGAUCGCGACUCCAUCUAAUUAGUGACGCGCAUGAAUGGAUUAACGAGAUUCCUACUGUCCCUAUCUACUAUCUAGCGAAACCACAGCCAAGGGAACGGGCUUGGAAUAAUUAGCGGGGAAAGAAGACCCUUUUGAGCUUGACUCUAAUCUGGCAGUGUAAGGAGACAUAAGAGGUGUAGAAUAAGUGGGAGAUAUUAGACCUCGGUUUGGUAUCGUCAAUGAAAUACCACUACUCUUAUUGUUUCCUUACUUACUUGAUUAAAUGGAACGUGUAUCAUUUCCUAGCCAUUAUACGGAUAUAUUUAUUAUAUCUUAUGGUAUUGGGUUUUGAUGCAAGCUUCUUGAUCAAAGUAUCACGAGUUUGUUAUAUAAUCGCAAACAAAUUCUUUAAUAAAACGAUGCAUUUAUGUAUUUUUGAUUUGAAAAUUUGGUAUAACUCCAAUUACUCAGGUAUGAUCCAAUUCAAGGACAUUGCCAGGUAGGGAGUUUGACUGGGGCGGUACAUCUCUCAAAUAAUAACGGAGGUGUCCCAAGGCCAGCUCAGUGCGGACAGAAACCACACAUAGAGCAAAAGGGCAAAUGCUGACUUGAUCUCGGUGUUCAGUACACACAGGGACAGCAAAAGCUCGGCCUAUCGAUCCUUUUGGUUUAAAGAGUUUUUAACAAGAGGUGUCAGAAAAGUUACCAUAGGGAUAACUGGCUUGUGGCGGCCAAGCGUUCAUAGCGACGUCGCUUUUUGAUCCUUCGAUGUCGGCUCUUCCGAUCAUUGGGAAGCAAAAUUCCCCAAGCGAAGGAUGGUUCACCCAUGCAAGGGAAGGUGAAUAGGGAAAGACCCUCAGAGACAUAGCAAUUUUACCAAAUAAAAGACAAAUCGAAA